GGUGAAGUGAUAAGAGCUUGUGAAGGAUCUCUUGGUAUCCAAAAGCGAUGAAGGACGUGGUUACCGGCGAAACGGUUCGGGGAGUUGGUAGCACGCUAUGAUCCGAAUGUCUCCGAAUGAGGGAACUCAAUAACUUUUUUCUGAAUCAAUAGGAAAAAAGAGCAAACCCAGGGAACUGAAACAUCUUAGUACUUGGAGGAAAAGAAAGUAAAAACGAUUCCCUAAGUAGUGGCGAACGAAACGGGAACAGCCUAAAUUAAUUUUUAAUUAAAAAAUUAAGGUCAUGGGAAAAGCGCUACAAAUUUUUAUUUGCAGUUUUAGCUAUAAACGUUUAGGUCAAGGCUUUUAGUCUUAUCAAAUUGUUUAUGAAAAUUAGACGAAAUCGUUGGAAAGCGAUACCCGAGAAAGUGAUAGUCUUGUAGUCGAAAAUUUUCUUUUUAUGCUUUUUCCCAAGUAGCAUGGAGCACGUGAAAUUCCGUGUGAAUUUGCGAGGACCACCUCGUAAGGCUAAAUAUUCUUGGAUGUCCGAUAGUGAACUAGUACCGCGAGGGAAAGAUGAAAAGAUCCCCGGGAGGGGAGUGAAAAAGAACGUGAAAUUGCAAGCUUACAAUCAGAAGGAGAACGACUAAGCGUUUGACUUCGUGCCUGUUGAAGAAUGUUCCGGCGAGUUAGAAGGAGUGGCAGGUUAAGGGAUUUGACCUGGAGCCAUAGUGAAAGCGAGCUUGAAGAGAGCGUAAGUCACUUUUUCUAGACCCGAACCCGCUUGAUCUAACCAUGUGCAGGAUGAAACCUAGGUAAUACUAGAUGGAGGUCCGAACCGACUCAUGUUGAAAAAUGAGCGGAUGACGUGUGGUUAGGGGUGAAAUGCCAAUCGAAAGCGGAGCUAGCUGGUUCUCCCCGAAAUGUAUUUAGGUGCAGCGGUGAAUGUGUUGAUGUAGGGGUAAAGCACUGUUUUUAUGCGGGCUGGUAACUCGGUACCAAAUGAAGGCAAACUCUGAAUACUACAAGAAGAGUUCACUAGUAAGACUAUGAGGGAUAAGCUUCAUUGUCAAGAGGGAAACAGCCCAGAUCACCAGCUAAGGCCCCAAAAUGAUGGCUAAGUGAUAAAGGAAGUGGAAAGGCCGCAACAACCAGGAGGUUUGCUUAGAAGCAGCAAUCCUUUAAAAAGUGCGUAAUAGCUUACUGGUCUAGCAAUUCUGCGCCGAAAAUUCACGGGACUAAGUCAUCUGCCGAAGCUGUGAGAUAGAAAUUUUUUCUAUCGGUAGGGGAGCGUUUUAUUGUAGGAUGAAGUACCAGCGAAAGCGGGUAUGGACGAAAUAAAAGUGAGAAUGCCGGAUUGAGUAGCGAAAACAUCGGUGAGAAUCCGAUGCUCCGAAACCCUAAGGUUUCCUUUGGAAGGUUCGUCCACGAAGGGUUAGGCAGGACCUAAGGCAAGGCUGAAAAGCGUAGUCGAUGGAUAUUAGGUUAAUAUUCCUAAUCUGAUGCCUGUUGAUAAAUGAGGGACAAAGCAGGCUACAUUAGCCGGAUAUUGGUUACCGGUUCAAGCUUUCAAGGCUAUGAGAGAUAGCGAAACUAUCUUGAGCGGAGAAGCGAGUACACGAUCCUUUGAGAUCAAAGUAAUGGAUGUCAUACUUUCAAGAAAAGCUCAACUUAUCACCAACGUAUAAUUUUAAUAGAUUUUAGUAUUAGAAUUAAUAUUUAAAACUAAAACACUAAAAAGUUAUAUUAAACAGUCAUUACCUGUACCUGAAACCGACACAGGUAGGGAGGUAGAGAAUACCAAGGAGCGCGAGAGAACCCUCCUUAAGGAACUCGGCAAAAUGACUCCGUAACUUCGGGAGAAGGAGUGCCCCAAAUGGCAGUUGUCAGGUAAAAGUGACAACAAGAAUGGCAAGGCUGCAAUAUCAAGUUCCAAGCAACUGUUUAGCAAAAACACAGGUCUCCGCUAAGUCGUAAGACGACGUAUGGGGGCUGACGCCUGCCCAGUGCCGGAAGGUAAAAGAAGUUGGUGAUCCUUUUUCAGUAAUGAGGAAGAUAGCUAAUGACUGAAGCCCCGGUGAACGGCGGCCGUAACUAUAACGGUCCUAAGGUAGCGAAAUUCCUUGUCAGGUAAGUUCUGACCCGCACGAAUGGCGUAAUGAUUUGGAAGCUGUCUCAAGGAGGGACUCGGCGAAAUAGAAAUGUCUGUGAAGAUGCGGACUUCCAGCGCCAGGACAGUAAGACCCUAUGAAGCUUUACUGUAUUCUGAAAUUGGAUCUUGAUUUAAUUUGCGCAGAAUAGGUGGGAGACGUUGAAUCUUUUCUUGUGGGAAAGGAGGAGUCGCACGUGAGAUACCACUCUUUUUAAAUUGAUAUCCUAACUUCAUACCGUUAGCCGGUUGAAAGACAGUUUCAGAUGGGCAGUUUGACUGGGGCGGUCGCCUCCUAAAAGGUAACGGAGGCGUACAAAGGUUUCCUCAGAUCAGUCAGAAAUUGAUCAUAGAGUGCAAAGGCAAAAGGAAGCUUAACUGUGAGACAAACGAGUCGAGCAGAGACGAAAGUCGGUCUUAGUGAUCUGACGCUACUGUGUGGAAAGGGCGUCACUCAACGGAUAAAAGUUACUCUAGGGAUAACAGGCUGAUCUCCUCAUAGAGUUCCUAUCGACGAGGAGGUUUGGCACCUCAAACAGGGGGCAAUCAUAUGGUAACAGUGAUUGGCAUUUUGGCUAUAUGCUGGAAACUCCGUCCGUUAAAAACGGUGAAGUAUUCUGAAAUACUUUUUUUUACAACAAAACAAAAAACUAAGUGACAAUUUUCAGAUGCGGACAAUCAGCAGGAAAGACUUACGGUUUUAAAAAAGUAUCCUCAACGACUACAUGCCAAACAGCCAGAAAUAAAAUUACGGUUGAUGAUAUAGUCUGAACUUUUAGGCGACUAAAAGUAUAUAAAUCGGCGAAUUAUUAAAAGUAAAUCUGCCGAUUAACAUCAUUGCGAUGUCGGCUCAUCGCAUCCUGGGGCGGUAGUACGUCCCAAGGGUUAGGCUGUUCGCCUAUGAAAGCGGUACGUGAGCUGGGUUCAGAACGUCGUAAGACAGUUCGGUCCAUAUCCGGCGUUGGCGAAAGAGUAUUGAGAGUGACCUUUCUCUAGUACGAGAGGACCGAGAAAGACAUACCGCUAGUGUACCAGUUAUCACGCCAGUGGUAAACGCUGGGUAGCUACGUAUGGUUUGGAUAACCGCUGAAAGCAUCUAAGUGGGAAGCCGUCCUCAAGAUGAGUGCUCUAAGGUUGCAGCAAGACGAGCUGCUUAAUAGGGAUCCAGUUGAAGCAAAGCAAUUUGUGAAGCUUAGAUCUACUAAUAACCAAU
This 3341-nucleotide ribosomal RNA is filed under the name Pedobacter sp. RNAcentral's name for it is "23S ribosomal RNA". It matches the Rfam family "Bacterial large subunit ribosomal RNA". The record is from RNAcentral. Lineage: Bacteria; Pseudomonadati; Bacteroidota; Sphingobacteriia; Sphingobacteriales; Sphingobacteriaceae.